RNAcentral lists this ribosomal RNA (254 nucleotides) under uncultured bacterium. RNAcentral describes it as "partial 16S ribosomal RNA". It matches the Rfam family "Bacterial small subunit ribosomal RNA", at positions 524 to 776 of the family's 1533-position model. The record is from RNAcentral.
UACGUAGGGUGCAAGCGUUGUCCGGAAUUAUUGGGCGUAAAGAGCUCGUAGGCGGUCUGUCGCGUCGAUCGUGAAAACUUGGGGCUUAACCCUGAGCUUGCGGUCGAUACGGGCAUGACUGGAGUUCGGCAGGGGAGACUGGAAUUCCUGGUGUAGCGGUGAAAUGCGCAGAUAUCAGGAGGAAUACCCAUAGCGAAGGCAGCUCGCUGGGACGGUACUGACGCUGAGGCGCGAAAGCGUGGGGAGCGAACAGG